UUACCCCUAUUCGAUCAAAACUCUCCUCUACCACCACCGCCACCGUCUCAACCUCUGUCUCAUCCACCCGCCGCCGUGAAUUCCUCUCUCUGGCUGCCGGAAUCCUUACUCCGGCAUUGCUCCUACCUGCCACGUCAGCAUUCGCUGCUUCCGACGAGGAGUACGUGAGGGAAGCUUCGGAAGUGAUUAAGAAAGUGAGGUCCACGCUCUCUAUGGAGAAAAGUGAUCCGAACUUAGCUGAUUCUGUUACUGAGUUGAGAGAGGCUUCUAAUUAUUGGGUUGCUAAGUACAGAAGAGAGAAGGCUUUAUUGGGCCGGGCCUCAUUCCGUGACAUUUACUCGGCCCUCAAUGCUGUUUCGGGCCAUUAUGUUAGCUUUGGGCCGACCACACCCAUUCCGGCUAAGAGAAAGCAGAGAAUCUUGGAAGAGAUGGACACUG
RNAcentral lists this long non-coding RNA (438 nucleotides) under Nicotiana tabacum (common tobacco). RNAcentral's name for it is "long non-coding RNA (NTAB_LNC013467)". Lineage: Eukaryota; Viridiplantae; Streptophyta; Magnoliopsida; Solanales; Solanaceae. The record is from RNAcentral.